GACGAACGCUGGCGGCGUGCCUAAUACAUGCAAGUAGAACGCACAGUUUAUACCGUAGCUUGCUACACCAUAGACUGUGAGUUGCGAACGGGUGAGUAACGCGUAGGUAACCUGCCUGGUAGCGGGGGAUAACUAUUGGAAACGAUAGCUAAUACCGCAUAAUAUUGAUUAUUGCAUGAUAAUUGAUUGAAAGAUGCUAUUGCAUCACUACCAGAUGGACCUGCGUUGUAUUAGCUAGUAGGUGAGGUAACGGCUCACCUAGGCGACGAUACAUAGCCGACCUGAGAGGGUGAUCAGCCACACUGGGACUGAGACACGGCCCAGACUCCUACGGGAGGCAGCAGUAGGGAAUCUUCGGCAAUGGACGAAAGUCUGACCGAGCAACGCCGCGUGAGUGAAGAAGGUUUUCGGAUCGUAAAGCUCUGUUGUAAGAGAAGAACGGGUGUGAGAGUGGAAAGUUCACACUGUGACGGUAUCUUACCAGAAAGGGACGGCUAACUACGUG
RNAcentral lists this ribosomal RNA (505 nucleotides) under uncultured bacterium. RNAcentral's name for it is "partial 16S ribosomal RNA". It matches the Rfam family "Bacterial small subunit ribosomal RNA", at positions 28 to 507 of the family's 1533-position model. The record is from RNAcentral.